Molecule: long non-coding RNA, 392 nt
Filed under: Struthio camelus australis
Lineage: Eukaryota; Metazoa; Chordata; Aves; Struthioniformes; Struthionidae
Description: lncRNA (ENSSCUG00000007772.1)
Source: RNAcentral
CUCACCAGAAGCGACUGGCGCACACACAGAUCGGAAUAGCCAGUUGAAGUCCAAUGUGCGGGGCCUGAAAAUCAUUGUUUCAAGCCCAAGGUGCAUGAUCAUUGAAGGGGUAGACUGCUAAAAAUGUAGGAUCUUUAUACUGAAAGAAGCGUGCUUGGAUUUUUCCGGAGCGCUUUUUGUGUUUGCUUCCAGUGAAACCAAAUACGUUUCACCUUGAUUUAAAUGAACCUUUGACUACAUUUAAGCUCCCCUAAAACCUCAGCCCUGUGCAUGGAGCUGAUGAAGAGUGAAAUAGACUGUGUUGACAAUUAGGAACCGUGUUUUGGAGGAAAGAAGUUGUCCCACUGCAUUUCCUACUGAGAUACUAUCUGACAUCUCUGUUAAAUGGGGAU